RNAcentral lists this ribosomal RNA (240 nucleotides) under uncultured bacterium. Its description in RNAcentral is "partial 16S ribosomal RNA". It matches the Rfam family "Bacterial small subunit ribosomal RNA", at positions 121 to 354 of the family's 1533-position model. The record is from RNAcentral.
CCAACCUCGCCCUGUACGGAGGGGAGUACCAUCUGGAAACAGAUGCUAAUACCGCAUAAGCGCAUCAGCCCGCAUGGGCAGAUGCGGAAAGGGAGCGAUCCCGGUACAGGAUGGACCCGCGUCUGAUUAGCCAGUUGGCAGGGUAACGGCCUACCAAAGCGACGAUCAGUAGCCGGCCUGAGAGGGUGAACGGCCACAUUGGGACUGAGACACGGCCCAGACUCCUACGGGAGGCAGCAG